CAGCAGCCGCGGUAAUACGGAGGAUCCAAGCGAUAUCCGGAUUUAUUGGGUUUAAAGGGUGCGUAGGUGGCUUAUUAAGUCAGGGGUGAAAGACGGUAGCUUAACUAUCGCAGUGCCUUUGAUACUGAUGAGCUUGAAUGAACUAGAGGUAGGCGGAAUGUGACAAGUAGCGGUGAAAUGCAUAGAUAUGUCACAGAACACCAAUUGCGAAGGCAGCUUACUAUGGUUUUAUUGACACUGAGGCACGAAAGCGUGGGGAUCAAACAGGAUUAGAUACCCGUGUAGUCCCUGUCUCUUAUAC
RNAcentral lists this ribosomal RNA (301 nucleotides) under uncultured bacterium. RNAcentral describes it as "partial 16S ribosomal RNA". It matches the Rfam family "Bacterial small subunit ribosomal RNA", at positions 509 to 807 of the family's 1533-position model. The record is from RNAcentral.